GUUUUAAUAGUUUAACAAAAACAUUGGUCUUGUAAAUCAAAAAUAAGAAAAAUUUUCUUUUAGAUCU
This 67-nucleotide transfer RNA is filed under the name Parochlus steinenii. Its description in RNAcentral is "tRNA-Thr". It matches the Rfam family "tRNA". Rfam says of the family: Transfer RNA (tRNA) molecules are approximately 80 nucleotides in length. Lineage: Eukaryota; Metazoa; Arthropoda; Insecta; Diptera; Chironomidae. The record is from RNAcentral.